UUACACCGAAUCAGAUAUGAAUGUUUUUAUUUAUAUUUAAUGAAUAUAAAACUUAGUUCAAGAUUGGAAAUAUACACUAAAAUAAAUUAUAUGCAAGUUUAUGUAAUUAUGUGGUUAAACCCAUUGUUUAGACGUCAAUCUGAAUGUCUAGCACCUAAUCAGAGCUUAGACGAUCGACAAAACCGCAUAAAACAUAAUCUCCAAAUAUUAUUUAAAAACCAAAACAAGAAAACCCUCUUCCACCUUUCAAAAUCUUAUUUAACUUUUUCUUGAUCUUUUGCUCACUGAGGUUUUCUCCUUUCACAAUUAGUACGGCGGCGGCGUCAUCAAAAUCAAUAAAAGCAACUCCUAGAAAAUGGAAAAAGCAUUUGUAACACAUUGGUCUGAAACUUGUAGAGUAUAUGAAUGAUUUGAUUUUAGUCUCAUUAUAAUCAUAAGGCUGCGUUGGUGUCUAUUGGUUGUUACCUUUACAAUUACCGAUACGUCGUAGUGCCUCCUGCUUAGUAUCUUCGCCAAUAGUUCCAACAUUAAACUGAAGUUCCUCUUUCUGCAGCGAACAAUGCAAUUUAGUCAAGUCCUUAAUAAACUUUGUCAUAUAAGCAAAACAUAGCUUUGUUGAGUAUGGAUAAAUAUAUUUAUGUUUUGUUGCAUAAGGUUCUUACAUAAAUUAAAACCAUUUUCUUCAAAAAAAAUUUAAAAACUAUGAAAAACAAAUCAAAUUUUUGUAAAGCUUGUAAGUUGUAGAGAAGAGGCUCAUCAACCUAUAUUUAUAUAAGAUUAUUAUAAG
RNAcentral lists this long non-coding RNA (787 nucleotides) under Capsella rubella. RNAcentral's name for it is "long non-coding RNA (CRUB_LNC000767)". Lineage: Eukaryota; Viridiplantae; Streptophyta; Magnoliopsida; Brassicales; Brassicaceae. The record is from RNAcentral.